Molecule: long non-coding RNA, 3425 nt
Filed under: Medicago truncatula (barrel medic)
Lineage: Eukaryota; Viridiplantae; Streptophyta; Magnoliopsida; Fabales; Fabaceae
Description: lncRNA gene20214
Source: RNAcentral
UUUCUUAAAAAAAAAAAAAAAUAGAUUAGAUCUAAAUUUCUGCAAUAGAAAUUAAGCAACCUCUUUAAAAAAAAAAACGAUAAGAAAGAGAAAGAGGAGGAGGGAAGAAGCAAUUGUCCCCGCGGGAGCAGACGGUCUGUCUUCAUCGCCAACCAACCAACAAUCAUCAUCGUCGUCAGAUUCAUCACUCUUUUGAUUCAAAGUUUCAAUCUUUCUUCUUUCUUUUUUGUUUUUUGGUUUUCAGCCAUGGAGGUACCAACUACUUCAUGGGAUUCCCUUCGCAAACAGGUUUCAAUUAAUUUUCUCUCAUUCUCAUGUUUUUUAUGUUGUAAAUUAUGCUAAUUGAUAUGAAUAUGCACAAUUUGAAUCCCCAUGUGUUAAAGUUUCGAUUUUUCUUUCUGGGGUUUUCUCAAUUUGUCUGUGACGGGGAAGGAAUUUAUCAUUGGAUGAGCUUCCGCUCUUUUGCUUUCUCUGAUCCUAUCAUAAUUUAGUGCAUGUUUGGUUCAUGGAUGAUAAAAAUUGAUUUUGAAUGAAUCUAUUUUGUAAAAUUGAUUUUUACUUAAAAUGACUCGAAUGUAAAAUGAUUUAUGUUUGAACACAUCUACCUAAAGUUAACAAUAAAUUUCGUGUUAACAAUAAAUGUACUGUAAAAAAAACAAUAAAUUUUAGGGUAAAAAUCAAGUUUAGACUCAAUGAUUACAAAUUCUAUAUUCAAGUUAAAAUCAACUAUGGAGGCAAAAUUAAUUAUUAAUAUCUAUGAAGCACGGAUACAGACACGGACACGACACAUACUCUAACACACCGACACAGCUAAUAAUUUAAAAAAAAUCACAUAAUUCAGUGUAAUUACAAGUGUUGGUGUCUUGUACACGACACAUGUCCGACACAGGGACACGCCUAAUCCGAGGAGUGUCCGUGCUUCAUAGAUUAUUAUGAGUAUUAGAAAAGUUUGAUGAGGUCUUGCAAAAAUUAGUUUUGAAUGAAUUGAUUUUGGUUGAAAUUGAACGAAAUGUAACUUGUUAAGUGAUUUUAUGGUGGAUACAUACUGUCUCUUACGUAAUAGUGAGUGGCACGGAACAUUUAAGACUUAAUUUCAGGGCAAAAGCUUAAAAUUCUAGUUUAAGUUGGAAUUCAUUAUGGAUGCAAAAUCAGUUAUUCUUGAGAACACUGUGAUAUGUCCAAGUCAAUUGUAUGCUUUUAGAAUUCAUUUUACCUCCUCCAAGAGUGAAACUUAGACUCGUUGCUUAAGGGGUUGAAUUGUGAAUAUUUGAAAUGUUUUGGAUGAGAAUAUGUUCCUUGGUUUAGGUUCAUUUGAUUUGAUGUAGAAAUGCCAGGUUAGAAGUGUACCUAAUUUUUGUCUGCGAAAUAAAUAAGGUUCUUUGCAUUGUGUACCUACAGAGAGUUUAUUUGAGUCAUACUAAUAUUGUUUAAAAGUAAAUGAUCAGGGUUAUUGUAAUUAGACGCAAAUUUUGCUGCGUGUAUGAUAAUCUAGUGAUCAUAGAUGGUGUAGGAAUUUGGUUUUUUGAUAUACAAGAUGUAAAUAUAAAAUGAUGAGUAGAAUCUCUUUAGAAACUAAGACGUGAUUUUGAGUGACUAAAAUUAUAAGUUGUAAAUUGUCACUCAAAAUAAUAUAGUCUACAGACAACUUUCAUGCAUUGGCUAGAAACUUUAUAGGAUUGUAUGAGUACUAGUCUAGUACCCGUGCGCAUACGCACGGGUGGAUAUCGUUGAUGAUUUACAACUCAAUACAUCAACACAUGAUUAGCUUCAAAUUACCCAAGACAAUUGAUCAAAUUACAUAAGCUAAGGACAAAAUGGUGUCAAAGCGAUGAUUGCAUUAGUUUGACAUUGACCAUUUAUGUUUGGAAUGUUUUUUUUGUCAGUAUUUGAUUAUUAGUUAGACAUUGGUUGGGUAGUCAGUCAUUCAGUGAACCCUUUAUAGUUGUUUUAUUACGACUUAUUAUUUUAUUCGCUUGAUGGUUUCUGUGAUAAAAUACAUUAUUAUCCAUAUACAAUUAUACAUUCAAACAGAUUAAUAAUUGUAACUUGAAUUUUAUUGCAUUGAUAAUGAACAAAGAAUAUAGCAUGAAUUCUAUAAUACAACUCUCUUUGUUCUAAUUAAGAAGUAUUGUUUUAUUGUACUAAGUUAAUAGACAUGUGGAGUCACAAACUGGAAACCUCACUUCCCUUUCGCUGAAGCAAUAGUUGUUUAUUUUGUGAAAAUUGACUGGAAGACAUUUAAGACUGCAUCAAAUUAUUCUACUCACAAUUCAUGUUUAAAAAAUUGAUUGAUACCUUUUCCAUUAUUACAUAUAAGAUUACAAACAUUCUCUUUAUUUGCCAAUCACAAUGCUAGAGUGUGUGUAGUAUUAUGUCUGGCCCAUAUUUAUGUAAUAAAGCUAAAGUAAAUUUUGUUCACGACUUCAUGCCUUGUUUAAUAAGUUUCUGAUCAUUCUUAUCAAGGUUUAAUUGUUUUUGCUUUUCAGUAUAAAUAGUAAGAAGGAAAGAAAAACCACCUCAUUGAUCUAUUUAUUUAAUAAGUUUCUGCAUGCUUUUAUGUACCUUUUUGGAUUUUUGGUGUUGUAAAUCAUCAAUCAUUCCUAAAUAGCAUGCAAGCACCGGUAGAAAUUUUGUUGGUUUUCUUUUUUAAAUUGGUGUUUAAAUAGAUUUCCAUUUUAUGUUAUUGACCCUUAAUUUUAUGAUGAUUCUGCAUGUUAAACUAUAUUUACAAAUUUCAAAAGAAAAUGUAAAUUUUUGGGAAAUAUUCUAAUUGUUGUAUUCUUUUGUUGUGCCUUCAUGUUGCUCGUGUGAUUCCUUUAAUGCUCCCAUGAGAUGUUGUGAAAACCUGUAGUUUGGAGACAAAGGAGUGGUAAGAAAUUGCAUGAAUAAACUAUUAGUUUGGAGACAAAAGAGUGGUUGGAGAUGGCAAGAGUUCAAGCAGGAUGGAGAACGAAAGUGAAUGGUAUUAUAUGAGGAAGGCUUAUUUAGCAAGUGGAUGAAAAAAAGACAACCAUUGCAAGUGGAUGUUAAUUAAUUUGAAAAAUGCCCAAUGCGGGAAACCUACCAUAUCAUUUUACAUACAAAAACAAGAAUAUUAUAAUUUAUUUGUGUUUGAACAGUGGUAUUUUGAGAUGACUGUUGUUAAGAUUAUUGAUUUACUAGAGUUGCAAUGAAAAGCAUGCAAUUCUAGUUUUUUGACUCUCAAUAGACUUUUACAAUCUUCAAGCAUGCAAUUCAUGUAACAUUUUUUAAUAUAGUUUUCUUGGAUGCCGAGUCCCGGUGUAAUUGAAUACUGGUUGGUAUAUUUUUUUUAUAUAUAUUAUUUACAUUUGAAUAGAAGGUAAGCGGAUAACAUUCAUGAACUUAAUUACUAUGCAUGACCUUUUAAACUCUAUGUAGAAGGACAACAACCUCUGAUAUUAAGA